ACGGCGAGUUCCGAAAAGCCGGAUAGUAAACAGAGUAGGAA
This 41-nucleotide non-coding RNA is filed under the name unclassified sequences. The record is from Rfam.